CCUACGGGAGGCUGCAGUGGGGAAUAUUGGACAAUGGGCGAAAGCCUGAUCCAGCCAUGCCGCGUGUGUGAAGAAGGCCUUCGGGUUGUAAAGCACUUUCAGUGGGGAAGAAAGCCUUGGGGCUAAUACCCUCGAGGAAGGACAUCACCCACAGAAGAAGCACCGGCUAACUCCGUGCCAGCAGCCGCGGUAAUACGGAGGGUGCGAGCGUUAAUCGGAAUUACUGGGCGUAAAGCGCGCGUAGGCGGUCUGAUAAGCCGGUUGUGAAAGCCCCGGGCUCAACCUGGGAACGGCAUCCGGAACUGUCAGGCUAGAGUGCAGGAGAGGAAGGUAGAAUUCCCGGUGUAGCGGUGAAAUGCGUAGAGAUCGGGAGGAAUACUAGUGGCGAAGGCGGCCUUCUGGACUGACACUGACGCUGAGGUGCGAAAGCGUGGGUAGCAAACAGGAUUAGAUACCCCAUAGUC
This 464-nucleotide ribosomal RNA is filed under the name Vreelandella stevensii. Its description in RNAcentral is "partial 16S ribosomal RNA". It matches the Rfam family "Bacterial small subunit ribosomal RNA", at positions 338 to 795 of the family's 1533-position model. Lineage: Bacteria; Pseudomonadati; Pseudomonadota; Gammaproteobacteria; Oceanospirillales; Halomonadaceae. The record is from RNAcentral.